Xenopus tropicalis (tropical clawed frog) is the source of this 544-nucleotide long non-coding RNA. RefSeq lists it as uncharacterized. The record is from RefSeq and is a predicted model, not a curated record. The transcript has 3 exons. Lineage: Eukaryota; Metazoa; Chordata; Amphibia; Anura; Pipidae.
UGACCUAUCCCGAACCCUGCUAAUGUUCUUUCUAGGUAGUCCCAGGACACUCUAUCAAACGCCUUUUUGGCAUCAGUGGUUAAGAUUAGUGCAGGGAUCUUCCUGGUUUUGGCAUAGUGUAUCAGUGAGAUUAUUUUGGUUGUAUUGUCUCUUCCCUCUCUUCCAGGUAUAAAACCUGACUGGUCCGUGUGGAUUAGCUCCGGCUAAAGGGAGCGUCAAUUGAUUGACUGUCCUCCGGGAUUACUGCUUAUUGAGAUGAAUUGACCUCUGAGGACACAUUUUAGAGUUUCCCAAAUGGUUCCGGGGGAGAUUGAGCUAGAAAUGUUAUCUUGCAACAUUUGGGAGAUAUUUGUUUUGAUCUGAUUUCUAAUGUGGUCUCUGUGCAAUAGAAAGUCAUUCAUUCUCCAGGUGAAUUUAGGUUUGGUUGUCUUAGGGAUCACAAACUUGGCUACUAUGGGAGAAUGGUCAGAUAGGACACUGCUUCUGAUUUUAGCCUGUGUAAAUAAAUGUAACCAGUUUUGUGAAGCCAUGAUAUAGUCUAUUC